Molecule: ribosomal RNA, 440 nt
Filed under: uncultured bacterium
Lineage: Bacteria
Description: partial 16S ribosomal RNA
Rfam family: Bacterial small subunit ribosomal RNA
Source: RNAcentral
CCUACGGGAGGCUGCAGUGGGGAAUAUUGCACAAUGGGGGCAACCCUGAUGCAGCGACGCCGCGUGAGUGAAGAAGUAAUUCGUUAUGUAAAGCUCUAUCAGCAGGGAAGAAAAUGACGGUACCUGUGUAAGAAGCCCCGGCUAACUACGUGCCAGCAGCCGCGGUAAUACGUAGGGGGCAAGCGUUAUCCGGAUUUACUGGGUGUAAAGGGAGCGUAGACGGCAGUGCAAGUCUGGAGUGAAAGGCGGGGGCUCAACCACCGGACUGCUCUGGAAACUGUACGGCUGGAGUGCAGGAGAGGUAAGCGGAAUUCCUGGUGUAGCGGUGAAAUGCGUAGAUAUUAGGAGGAACACCAGUGGCGAAGGCGGCUUACUGGACUGUAACUGACGUUGAGGCUCGAAAGCGUGGGGAGCAAACAGGAUUAGAUACCCCAGUAGUC